AAGUACUUAGUCUAAAAAGACUAUUGAUUUCGACUCAAUAAAUUCUGUAUAAACCAGAAGUACUUA
This 66-nucleotide transfer RNA is filed under the name Ensatina eschscholtzii (common Ensatina). RNAcentral's name for it is "tRNA-Arg". Lineage: Eukaryota; Metazoa; Chordata; Amphibia; Caudata; Plethodontidae. The record is from RNAcentral.